Molecule: ribosomal RNA, 253 nt
Filed under: uncultured bacterium
Lineage: Bacteria
Description: partial 16S ribosomal RNA
Rfam family: Bacterial small subunit ribosomal RNA
Source: RNAcentral
CACGUAGGGUGCGAGCGUUAUCCGGAAUGAUUGGGCGUAAAGCGUCCGCAGGUGGCUUUGUAAGUCUGCCGUUAAAGAGUGAGGCUCAACCUCAUAAGAGCAGUGGAAACUACAAGGCUAGAGUACGUUCGGGGCAGAGGGAAUUCCUGGUGUAGCGGUGAAAUGCGUAGAGAUCAGGAAGAACACCGGUGGCGAAAGCGCUCUGCUAGGCCGUAACUGACACUGAGGGACGAAAGCUAGGGGAGCGAAUGGG